This 484-nucleotide ribosomal RNA is filed under the name uncultured bacterium. RNAcentral's name for it is "bacterial SSU rRNA". It matches the Rfam family "Bacterial small subunit ribosomal RNA", at positions 36 to 507 of the family's 1533-position model. The record is from RNAcentral.
GUAACGGACUCGGCGGAAUGCUUUACACAUGCAAGUCGAGCGGCAGCGCGGGGGCAACCCUGGCGGCGAGCGGCGAACGGGUGAGUAACAUAUCGGAACGUACCCCGUCUGGGGGAUAACACAGCGAAAGCUGUGCUAAUACCGCAUACGACCUGAGGGUGAAAGCGGGGGAUCGCAAGACCUCGCGCGAUGGGAGCGGCCGAUAUCGGAUUAGCUUGUUGGUGAGGUAAAGGCUCACCAAGGCGACGAUCCGUAGCUGGUCUGAGAGGACGACCAGCCACACUGGAACUGAGACACGGUCCAGACUCCUACGGGAGGCAGCAGUGGGGAAUUUUGGACAAUGGGGGCAACCCUGAUCCAGCCAUUCCGCGUGAGUGAAGAAGGCCUUCGGGUUGUAAAGCUCUUUCAGCAGGAACGAAACGGUGGCCACUAAUACUGGCUACUAAUGACGGUACCUGAAGAAGAAGCACCGGCUAACUACGUG